UAUUUGCAAAAAUGUUUAAACCUCUUUUCGCUUUGUCAUUAUUGGGUAUUGUGUGUAGAUGAGGAAAAUAAGGCUGUCACGUAACAAAGUGGAAAGUGAAGGGGUCUGAACUUUCCGAAUGCAAUGUAUGUAAGCCUAUUACUAGUGACCCGCUGGAUUAACCACACUUAUGUGACAGAGGUAAGACUGGUAAACGAACCAUGUAAUGGUUAGGACUAACUAAAGUGAUAGUUAGUAUGUGGGUAUUACUGACGGUGGCUAAUAUUUAAUUCAAUAGAAAUUGUCAAAACAAACCACUGAUAAGUUGGGGCAUAUAAUUGAAACAUUCUAGAGUGCAUAAAUCAUCUCGGUAGGUUUGGAAUUACUGUCAGUGUGCACAGGUUACCAUAGGCUCCAGCCUCUGCUUGGAUCUCCAAAUUCAGCCCCACAAAUGAUGAAACAAUAGGCCUACAAUUUAUAAUUUUGAAUAACAUCACUGCUGUUUAUAAUUCAUUGUGGAAAAACCUGACAAGUUGACAUGCUUUUCAGUUUGCUGAAAUGACUAGUUUCACAUUCUGUCGCGACAGGUUGCUCGAUCAUCACAGUUUCCUCAUGAGUAAAGGUGGUGGCAUUAUGAGGGAAUUCAGUCAAGUUCAGAAUACAGCGUACCUGUAAGACACACCACCACACCUUAAUUUCUUUGAUUGCCACAUUAAAUGCUUACCUUAGCUGGCACUGGCAUUUCCCCUAGCACAAGAUCAAGGUCAGAAUACGCAGAGAGAAGUGCCUAAAAACUGAAUAAAUUUCCAUUCCGCGUGUGUAGCUGGUCUGAAUUCCCCCUUUUAGAGACACAAUUAGUUACAUUUUUUUCCCCCCUUCACAUUUUGAACAUUGUCACUUGUGUUAAAAGUACAAGUUGUAUCCUAUUCUCCCCCCCAGUUGGAACAGUAUUUAUACUGCGGGUUGAAUAAUUUUUGUUUUCAAGAUGUUUGUUAGAUGAUACUGUACAAGUUAUUACUAGAUGCUGAAAAUGAGUCCCUCUCAAGUUGGUACAUUUAUAAGUGGAGGAAUCCUUCAGAAAGCACAACACCCAGGUCGCCACAUGUGGCAGCAAAGUCUUACUGUGAUAGACUAGCCAAUGGGAAGUUUGAGUUCUGCCAAAUAACUUUGUUUUGUGUAGUCUCAUAACAUUAACCUUGUGCAAUAAAACAACCAAUGUUUGUA
This is a long non-coding RNA of Oncorhynchus gorbuscha (pink salmon), 1203 nucleotides long. RefSeq lists it as uncharacterized. The record is from RefSeq and is a predicted model, not a curated record. The transcript is spliced from 2 exons. NCBI's taxonomy places the organism in Eukaryota, Metazoa, Chordata, Actinopteri, Salmoniformes, Salmonidae.